UUUCGUCGGCGACCGGCGCACGGUGAGUAACACGUAUGCAACCUGCCCUCUUCAGGGGGACAACCUUCCGAAAGGGAGGCUAAUCCCGCGUAUAUCGGUUUCGGGCAUCCGAGAUCGAGGAAAGAUUCAUCGGAAGAGGAUGGGCAUGCGGCGCAUUAGCUAGACGGCGGGGUAACGGCCCACCGUGGCGACGAUGCGUAGGGGUUCUGAGAGGAAGGUCCCCCACACUGGUACUGAGACACGGACCAGACUCCUACGGGAGGCAGCAG
Molecule: ribosomal RNA, 269 nt
Filed under: uncultured bacterium
Lineage: Bacteria
Description: partial 16S ribosomal RNA
Rfam family: Bacterial small subunit ribosomal RNA
Source: RNAcentral